UGGAGAGUUUGAUCCUGGCUCAGGACGAACGCUGGCGGCGUGCCUAAUACAUGCAAGUCGAGCGGACCUGAUGGAGUGCUUGCACUCCUGAUGGUUAGCGGCGGACGGGUGAGUAACACGUAGGCAACCUGCCCGUAAGACCGGGAUAACUACCGGAAACGGUAGCUAAUACCGGAUAAUCAAGUCUYCCGCAUGGGAGRCUUGGGAAAGGCGGAGCAAUCUGUCACUUACGGAUGGGCCUGCGGCGCAUUAGCUAGUUGGUGGGGUAACGGCUCACCAAGGCGACGAUGCGUAGCCGACCUGAGAGGGUGAACGGCCACACUGGGACUGAGACACGGCCCAGACUCCUACGGGAGGCAGCAGUAGGGAAUCUUCCGCAAUGGACGAAAGUCUGACGGAGCAACGCCGCGUGAGUGAUGAAGGUUUUCGGAUCGUAAAGCUCUGUUGCCAGGGAAGAACGUCUUSUGGAGUAACUGCCASRRGAGUGACGGUACCUGAGAAGAAAGCCCCGGCUAACUACGUGCCAGCAGCCGCGGUA
RNAcentral lists this ribosomal RNA (538 nucleotides) under Paenibacillus macerans. RNAcentral describes it as "bacterial SSU rRNA". It matches the Rfam family "Bacterial small subunit ribosomal RNA", at positions 1 to 522 of the family's 1533-position model. Lineage: Bacteria; Bacillati; Bacillota; Bacilli; Caryophanales; Paenibacillaceae. The record is from RNAcentral.